Molecule: unclassified non-coding RNA, 240 nt
Filed under: soil metagenome
Description: partial contains 5.8S ribosomal RNA, internal transcribed spacer 2, and large subunit ribosomal RNA
Source: RNAcentral
AACGCACGAGACCUGCGGACCUGCGGAGGGAUCAUUACCGAGUUUACAACUCCCAAACCCAAUGUGAACGUUACCAAACUGUUGCCUCGGCGGGAUCUCUGCCCCGGGUGCGUCGCAGCCCCGGACCAAGGCGCCCGCCGGAGGACCAACCAAAAACUCUUUUUGUAUACCCCCUCGCGGGUUUUUAUAUAUCUGAGCCUUUCUCGGCGCCCCUUCGUGGGCGUUUCGAAAAUGAAUCAA